GGACUCCGAAUCGAAUUCUGAUUUGAACUUGUGGGAUUUCCUUUUUGGAGAUGGAAGUAUGGACGUGGAUGAAACCUCCAAGUAUGUGGUUUGGUUAAUAGUGGUAAACAAAACAAAGGAAUUUGGAAAAUCCAAUCUGAUUUGUGGAGAGAAACAAAUAAACUCAAAUCUGCGAUAGUGACACAAACGUGACAAGAACUCGAAACUCUAAACGACUAGACGCUAAGACCAGCAACAUGACACGACGAUGCAACCGUUAAUUCAAUAAGCCCUAACUAAGCAGUAAUAGUAAAAGGCUCAAAGGGUUUUUUGGGAUUAUUGAGAACUAAUCUACUAAUUUUUGGGCCUUUUCUGGACUAUAGGAAAUUAAAAAACAGCAAAGAACUAGAAGUCUCUCAC
This 399-nucleotide long non-coding RNA is filed under the name Setaria viridis. RNAcentral's name for it is "long non-coding RNA (SVIR_LNC006758)". Lineage: Eukaryota; Viridiplantae; Streptophyta; Magnoliopsida; Poales; Poaceae. The record is from RNAcentral.